Molecule: long non-coding RNA, 669 nt
Filed under: Felis catus (domestic cat)
Lineage: Eukaryota; Metazoa; Chordata; Mammalia; Carnivora; Felidae
Description: lncRNA (ENSFCAG00000047929.1)
Source: RNAcentral
GAUAUUACUGUGAACUACAAGCAAUUUGUUCCUGUGUAGAGCUGCAAUAUUAACAAGAAGCUGGGCGGUCUGAUGAGUUUUCCUUCAUCUCUCAGGGCAACGGCGUAUGAAGAAAUGGGAAGAAAAUGUUUGCUGACUGCUGCUCUAGGACAUUCAUCAACACAGAUGACCAGGGCUCACACCAGUGUUCCUGAAAGCCAGUGAAGGAGGAAGGAAUCAAAGGGGCAAUGUUCAAGUGGUGAUUUCUUUUUCGAAAGAAUAUUUCACAGAUUCUUUAGAUGCUCAAAAAGUUUGUAAGUCUUUCCUUCAUACACUUACCAAAAACAUAGCAGAUGCGUUAAAAAAGAGGUUGGAUAUAAGAAGCCAGGAAUGUAUAACUGUGCAUGGACAGAGAAAAUGUAGAAUAAUUUUAAAAAACUUAAUCUAUUUUAGUUUUCUCCUGCAAUCUCUCUGUUAUUAUGGAUGUAUUUAAUUUUUGAUCAUUUAUUAGACAUUGCUUUGCUAUAACUUGAAGAAAAAAUAAUAUGCUGAUAUUUAGGUCCAUUAAAAAAAUCUAUUUGCAGGAGGGGAACAAAGGUAUUAGAUAGGCCCCCAAGUAAUAGAAGGUAUAUUACUUUUUGAAUUACCACAUCUAAUAAAAACUGACUUCUUGGUUAUUCUUGGCCUGGG